Molecule: non-coding RNA, 113 nt
Organism: Pelobates cultripes (western spadefoot toad)
Lineage: Eukaryota; Metazoa; Chordata; Amphibia; Anura; Pelobatidae
Source: the annotation of a GenBank genome assembly
GACACACUGUCUCUGUCUCUCUCUGAUCUGAGAGCUCUCUGACACACUGUCUCUCUCUGAGAGAGACAGUGUGUCAGAGAGCUCUCAGAUCAAAGAGAGAGAGACAGAGACAG